UACGUAGGGGGCAAGCGUUAUCCGGAUUUACUGGGUGUAAAGGGAGCGUAGACGGCGUGCCAAGUCUGAUGUGAAAGGCCGGGGCUCAACCCCGGGACUGCAUUGGAAACUGGCAUGCUAGAGUGCCGGAGGGGCAAGCGGAAUUCCUAGUGUAGCGGUGAAAUGCGUAGAUAUUAGGAAGAACAUCGGUGGCGAAGGCGACUUUCUGGACUGUAACUGACGUUGAGGCACGAAAGUGUGGGGAGCAGACAGG
RNAcentral lists this ribosomal RNA (253 nucleotides) under uncultured Eubacteriales bacterium. RNAcentral's name for it is "uncultured Clostridiales bacterium partial 16S ribosomal RNA". It matches the Rfam family "Bacterial small subunit ribosomal RNA", at positions 524 to 776 of the family's 1533-position model. The record is from RNAcentral. Lineage: Bacteria; Bacillati; Bacillota; Clostridia; Eubacteriales.